RNAcentral lists this ribosomal RNA (457 nucleotides) under uncultured bacterium. Its description in RNAcentral is "partial 16S ribosomal RNA". It matches the Rfam family "Bacterial small subunit ribosomal RNA", at positions 28 to 507 of the family's 1533-position model. The record is from RNAcentral.
GAUGAACGCUGGCGGUAUGCUUAACACAUGCAAGUCGAACGGACUCUUCGGAGUUAGUGGCGGACGGGUGUGUCACGCGUGGGAAUCUGGCUUUGGGUUCGGGACAACCACUGGAAACGGUGGCUAAUACCGGAUGUGCCGAGAGGUAAAAGAGAAAUUUCCUGCAGAUGAGUCCGCGUCUGAUUAGCUAGUUGGUGAGGUAAAGGAGGACCAAGGCAACGAUGAGUAGCUGAUCUGAGAGGAUGACCAGCCACACUGGACCUGAGACACCGGCCAGACUCGGACGGGAGGCAGCGGUGGGGAAUCUGCGGAAACGGGCGAAAGACUGAAGGAAGAAAGCGGGGUGAGUGAAGAAUGUAUUCGGAUUGAAAAACUCGGUGAUGAGGGAAGAAUAAGUGUGAAAGUAACCACGCACGAAUUGACGGUAACUAAUCAGAAAGCUACGGCUAAAUACGUG